UGACUUCAUAGAGAGAAAUGCACCAAAGA
This 29-nucleotide non-coding RNA is filed under the name Mus musculus (house mouse). Lineage: Eukaryota; Metazoa; Chordata; Mammalia; Rodentia; Muridae. The record is from RNAcentral.